RNAcentral lists this long non-coding RNA (1546 nucleotides) under Solanum tuberosum (potato). RNAcentral describes it as "long non-coding RNA (STUB_LNC002029)". The record is from RNAcentral. Lineage: Eukaryota; Viridiplantae; Streptophyta; Magnoliopsida; Solanales; Solanaceae.
GGGGGGAUUGGCAAGACAACCUUGGCUAACAAAAUUUAUAAUGAUCAAUUCGUUAUGUCUCGAUUUGAAAUUCGUGUAAAAGUUACUGUUUCACUAGAGUAUUGUGCAAGCAAUGUACUUCUAGGCCUUCUUUCUUAUAUAAAUGGAAAUAUUGAGAUAUUACAGAAGAUAUUUGUAGUUGUUUUAACACAGAUACGAAACCAAACGUGGUUGUAAUCGCAACAUCUGCAAAAAUAACCUUUUUUCCGAAGCUAACCUCUUAUAGAGUCUCUGUUGAUGACUCAUAAACUCCAAAAAAUAAUCUUUUGCCUGGUUUGCUUUUCUAUAUGCUUCACUUCCUGAGUGAACUAUUAUCAAGUCUUGGCAGAUACUUGUUUGCCUGAUAUAUAUCCUACACAAUAACGGAAGACGCAAGGGGGAGAGCAGUCAGCCUCAACAAACUGAAAUCAAACAUUUAAUGUAUAUAAUAUGAAAUACACAUCAUAAGAAAUCACAUGUUCAGGGCUUGAAGCUCCUCAAUAAGUUUAAAAAAUAUUUAAAAAAUAUUUCCUGCAAUCCUUCAAGUAUUUAAUUUGUAUCUAGACUAGUCUGUCCAUUCAAGACUCCACCACACAUCACAUCAAACGAAACCAAUUUCACCUCAUCAGCCUAAAAUUUCACUUUUUCUUUAUUGUAAGGACAUCUUAUUUAUUUUCCUUAUGGCUUCUCCAUUGCUGUAUUUCCUUUCCAUACUUGAUUUUGAUUUACUUUACUUGAUCUGAGGGUUAUUGGAGACAACCUCUUUACCUUCACAUGGGUACAAGUUUAGUAUGUUGUUGUUGAAGCAUUUCAACAAUUAUGUGUGAAAGCACAUUUCUACAUUUACUACAGAUAAAUUUGAUUCCUAAAUCUUAAGAGCAAUUGAUCCCACAUUUUCAGUUCUCCUAUUAUCUCGUAGUUAAAGUCAAUCUAAGUUUGACUAGUGACACUUUUCACUAGUAAUGAGUAACUAUCAGAUAUGCAAGCUUCUAGAUUAUCAAGAAACUUCAUAAAUAUGAACAUCAUGAAAAUUCUACUCUUAAGUGUUAAAAUGAAUAGGAUAUACACAUUUAGCAAAAAUUAUAAAGCCAUAUUUAAGGAUUUCAGAAUAUCUGAAUUACAGAAGCAUGUUAAACUACAUUAAAAAGUCUAUAGUGCACAUAAUAGAACCAGAGUGUUCCACUUCCUUUCCAACUCUUUCUUUCACCUUUAAAGUAAAUAUCGGGGGAUGAUAGAAUAAAAAAAAACUUUCCAACUUCUGCAAAUGAGAAAGAAAAACAAAAAAAAAAAUAGAACAUGACAUUUUUUCAAGCAACCGAUAGUUAAAAAUUGGGAAAAUAGUAUGUGUGGCCUAAUUUGUACAUAUCAUGGUUCAUAAUCCACUUCAUUGACCACUAGGCUACACACUGCGGUGCUGGGGAACUUUCUUUUGUGUCUGUUCUUUCUUUUAAUCGACUAUAAUAUGACAGACCGGAACAUAGGAUCUUGAAAUACCUAUAUCACAGGAACUCUAAACGGUAAACAACAU